UGCCUACGGGACGCAGCAGUGGGGGAUAUUGCACAAUGGGGGCAACCCUGAUGCAGCGACGCCGCGUGAGCGAUGGAGUACUUCGGUAUGUAAAGCUCUGUCCGCAGGGAAGAGAAUGACGGUACCUGACCAAGAAGCCCCGGCUAAAUACGUGCCAGCAGCCGCGGUAAUACGUAUGGGGCAAGCGUUAUCCGGAUUUACUGGGUGUAAAGGGGGCGCAGACGGCGAUGCAAGCCAGGAGUGAAAGCCCGGGGCCCAACCCCGGGACUGCUCUUGGAACUGCGUGGCUGGAGUGCAGGAGGGGG
This 305-nucleotide ribosomal RNA is filed under the name uncultured bacterium. Its description in RNAcentral is "bacterial SSU rRNA". It matches the Rfam family "Bacterial small subunit ribosomal RNA", at positions 335 to 658 of the family's 1533-position model. The record is from RNAcentral.